This 72-nucleotide transfer RNA is filed under the name Eubacterium brachy ATCC 33089. It matches the Rfam family "tRNA". Rfam says of the family: Transfer RNA (tRNA) molecules are approximately 80 nucleotides in length. Their secondary structure includes four short double-helical elements and three loops (D, anti-codon, and T loops). Further hydrogen bonds mediate the characteristic L-shaped molecular structure. tRNAs have two regions of fundamental functional importance: the anti-codon, which is responsible for specific mRNA codon recognition, and the 3' end, to which the tRNAs corresponding amino acid is attached (by aminoacyl-tRNA synthetases). tRNAs cope with the degeneracy of the genetic code in two manners: having more than one tRNA (with a specific anti-codon) for a particular amino acid; and 'wobble' base-pairing, i.e. permitting non-standard base-pairing at the 3rd anti-codon position. The record is from Rfam by way of RNAcentral. Lineage: Bacteria; Bacillati; Bacillota; Clostridia; Peptostreptococcales; Anaerovoracaceae.
GGGGAAUUGGUGCAGAGGGAGCACGUUUGACUGGCAGUCAAAAGGUCACGGGUUCGAAUCCCGUAUUCUCCA